CUAUGGUCAUCUUCCAGGAAAGCUUAUUGUGCGAAUACUAAAUGUUCUUGAUCUAAGCAAGAUCCCAUUUUCUGAGUCAUUCCCACAGCACAUUAGUUCUUCGAACCCUGUCAUGUGCCCACCUCCUGAGUAUUUUGCUACUCUUCUGUUGGGACUGGUGAAUAAUGUGUUACCCCCAUUAAAUACCAACUCAAAAUAUGGAUCAGUUGCAGAUGGUCUAUGUAAUUCAAUGCGCAAU
Molecule: unclassified non-coding RNA, 238 nt
Filed under: Hevea brasiliensis (rubber tree)
Lineage: Eukaryota; Viridiplantae; Streptophyta; Magnoliopsida; Malpighiales; Euphorbiaceae
Source: RNAcentral